CUCUUUACUACUAUACAGAUUACACAGAAUUUGUAUUAGAAGUAACCAAGAAUUAGCAAAUAUUUGACAGAAUUAAAAAGUAACACAAAUAAACUAAUAACCCCCAAAGGUAAAGUAUUAAGAUUGUCAGAAAUUUCAAGAUCUUACAAUGAAAAUAAGAUCAUAACACCUGUGCAUCUAGGAUAUUAGUGAAGUUGCUUUUGUGAAAUUUUUAAAUAGCCAUUCCUGCAGGAUUAUCAUGAAGUCUAAAUGUGUGAGUAAAGUGCCUGGUAUUGGAAUAAGGUGUAAAACAGUAGGGGUAAAAAUUCCUCACCUCCUUUUGGGUAAACGUGGACUUUUGUCAUCUUUUCGUCUUCUUCCUCUCCUGUAAUUGAAGACAGGGUAACAGUAGACAUAUUCUGAAUCAAAACUUACACAGUGAAGGCUGGCUGAAGACACACACACACACACACGCACACACACGGCCAAAGAACAAGUGGCAAAGGAUAACCAAGAAUACAUAAAGUCAAAGACAUAUCUGGCAAAUCAAGCAAGUAAUUUUACACUGAAGUAAUUUCACUUUCAAAUCAGUCUGUAAGACAGAUUAAAUAUAUAUCUUCCAUAAACUAUGCAAUACUAUGAAAGACUCAGAUGAAUCUCAAUACUUUUAGAGUUGCUAUCAUGUAUCAUCUAAAAACACUAAGAAUAAAAAAUACCUUCUCCUUGCAAUAGAACUAAAAAAUCUAAACAUUUUUUUACUAAGAGUCUCUCCAGUGAAAUUGUCAACUGCUUGAGGCCAAAUUUUUUUAAGUUAAAAAAUACAUAUUUUGAAGCAUGUAUAUGUCAACAUCCUUCCUCACACUCCCACUCUUUUUUCCACUAGUCAUUUCAAAAUCUGUUAGAUUUUCAUUUUUAAUAAUAAUUGUGUACUCACUUCCUUGGAGGUUCCUCAUCCUCUCUAAUUUCAUUCUCCUCUUCUUUCACCUCCACCUCUACUUCCACUUUAAUUUCCUUCUUCUCCUUCUCUUCUUUUACCUUCCCUGAUUUUCUCCGUGGCUUUGGGGUUUCCCUGAAAACACAAAUGCAUUUCAAUACUAGACAAAAGAUCUUUUCAAGGAAGACUAUGACAACAAAUUAAAGCUUAGAGUUAUCAUUGAUUUGUUAUAAAACUACCCUCCUCAGUUCAUGAAAUGUGAAUUCCUACCAAUCAUUCUCACAUGCGUAGUAAUGAUCCAAAUAUAUGUAUUUGUUGCUCAUGGAAUGAACCCUCCCCAGACUAAAGAUGCCUGUAAAUCAAAUCUCACUAUAAUUGUAAAGAAAAACGAGACAAUAAGUUAAAAAAUUCUAAGUAUUCAGGCAAUUCAUGAUACCUUGUUGAAAUAAAACAUGCAGACUCAUAAAAACUUGUAUAUAAUCAAAAUAAAGUUCUACAAAUGGGAGAGAGGAUUAUCAGGGUAUGGUAAAAUGUUAGACUUACAAAAGAAGUGCAUAAUUAAUUACUCAUUUAAAAUUAAUUCUAUACCCAUUAGUUUGGCAAUAGACAAAAUAAAA
RNAcentral lists this non-coding RNA (1530 nucleotides) under Pongo abelii (Sumatran orangutan). Lineage: Eukaryota; Metazoa; Chordata; Mammalia; Primates; Hominidae. The record is from RNAcentral.